Molecule: ribosomal RNA, 238 nt
Filed under: Pycnococcus provasolii
Lineage: Eukaryota; Viridiplantae; Chlorophyta; Pseudoscourfieldiophyceae; Pseudoscourfieldiales; Pycnococcaceae
Description: partial Bacterial large subunit ribosomal RNA
Rfam family: Bacterial large subunit ribosomal RNA
Source: RNAcentral
AGUGGAAGGGUAACCGACCAUGGAGCGCUUGGGAGUGAGAAUGCAGACAUAAGUAACGAUAAAGAUGGUUGAAUUCCAUCUCGCCUAAAUCCCAAGGAUUCCUGGGGAAGGUUCGUCCUCCCAGGGUUAGUCGGGUGCUAAGACGAGGCCGUAAGGAGUAGUCGAUGCCAAGCUGGUUUAAUAUUCCAGCACCACUGUACUUGCGUUCGAUCUAAGGAGUGACGGAGAAAGUUAACAC